UUCCGGUUGAUCCUGCCGGAAGCCAUUGCUAUCAGGGUUUGACUAAGCCAUGCGAGUCGAGAGGUGUAAGACCUCGGCAUACUGCUCAGUAACACGUGGUUAACCUGCCUUAAGGUGGAGAAUACUCCCGGGAAACUGGGGCUAAUGCUCCAUAGUGGAUAUGUCCUGGAAUGGUAUAUCCUCGAAAGAUCCGUCGCCUUAGGAUGGGACUGCGUCCGAUUAGGUUGUUGGCGGGGUAACGGCCCACCAAGCCAUUGAUCGGUACGGGUUGUGGGAGCAAGAUCCCGGAGAUGGAUUCUGAGACAUGAAUCCAGGCCCUACGGGGCGCAGCAGGCGCGCAAACUUUACAAUGCGAGCAAUCGUGAUAAGGAAACCCUGAGUGCCUGUCGAUGCAGGCUGUUCAUAUAUCUAAAUCAUAUGUGAAGAAAGGGCAGGGCAAGACCGGUGCCAGCCGCCGCGGUAAUACCGGCUGCUCGAGUGAUGGCCACUAUUACUGGGUUUAAAGCGUCCGUAGCUUGACUGUUAGGUCUCUUGGGAAAUCUUCACGCUCAACGUGAAGGCGUCUAAGAGAUACCGGCAGUCUUGGAACUGGGAGAGGUAAACCGUACUUCGGGGGUAGGAGUGAAAUCUUGUAAUCCUCGAGGGACGACCUAUGGCGAAGGCAGUUUACCAGAACAGCUUCGACAGUGAGGGACGAAAGCUGGGGGAGCAAACGGGAUUAGAUACCCCGGUAGUCCCAGCCGUAAACAAUGUGCGUUAGGUGUGUCGGUAACCACGUGUUACUGAUGCGCCGAAGAGAAAUCGUGAAACGCACCACCUGGGAAGUACGGUCGCAAGGCUGAAACUUAAGGAAUUGGCGGGGGAGCACCACACAAGGUGGAGCCUGCGGUUUAUUUGAGUCACCCCCGGG
RNAcentral lists this ribosomal RNA (910 nucleotides) under uncultured Methanocorpusculum sp. Its description in RNAcentral is "bacterial SSU rRNA". It matches the Rfam family "Archaeal small subunit ribosomal RNA", at positions 1 to 922 of the family's 1478-position model. Lineage: Archaea; Methanobacteriati; Methanobacteriota; Methanomicrobia; Methanomicrobiales; Methanocorpusculaceae. The record is from RNAcentral.